GGCAUUACCGGAGAAUCAUUAUCUCCAAGAACUUCAAAUCCCAUUUUCUGUAGCUCAGACCUAAAAAAGUUACUGUUUUCACGUAUCCUAGCAAGUUUCUGAGCACCUCUACUAGAACCAUCCUCUCCAAGAAUAACUUUAAUGGAAGAUAUGAUUUGCUGAGCAGCCGGUGGUGAUAUAGACGUUGCAUAGAGGUGAGCAGGACAAGUGUACUUGAGAUAUUUUAUAAGCUCCU
This 235-nucleotide unclassified non-coding RNA is filed under the name Hevea brasiliensis (rubber tree). The record is from RNAcentral. Lineage: Eukaryota; Viridiplantae; Streptophyta; Magnoliopsida; Malpighiales; Euphorbiaceae.